GAUUUCGUAGCUCAAUUGGCAGAGCGCUUGACUGUUAAUCAAGAAGUUGAAGGUUCAACUCCUUCCGAAAUCG
This 73-nucleotide transfer RNA is filed under the name Flavobacterium frigidimaris. RNAcentral describes it as "tRNA-Asn". It matches the Rfam family "tRNA". Rfam says of the family: Transfer RNA (tRNA) molecules are approximately 80 nucleotides in length. Their secondary structure includes four short double-helical elements and three loops (D, anti-codon, and T loops). Further hydrogen bonds mediate the characteristic L-shaped molecular structure. tRNAs have two regions of fundamental functional importance: the anti-codon, which is responsible for specific mRNA codon recognition, and the 3' end, to which the tRNAs corresponding amino acid is attached (by aminoacyl-tRNA synthetases). tRNAs cope with the degeneracy of the genetic code in two manners: having more than one tRNA (with a specific anti-codon) for a particular amino acid; and 'wobble' base-pairing, i.e. permitting non-standard base-pairing at the 3rd anti-codon position. RNAcentral also lists the same sequence under 1 other name. The record is from RNAcentral. Lineage: Bacteria; Pseudomonadati; Bacteroidota; Flavobacteriia; Flavobacteriales; Flavobacteriaceae.